GAUGAACGCUGGCGGCGCGCCUAAUACAUGCAAGUCGAGCGAACAGACGAGGAGCUUGCUCCUCUGACGUUAGCGGCGGACGGGUGAGUAACACGUGGAUAACCUACCUAUAAGACUGGGAUAACUUCGGGAAACCGGAGCUAAUACCGGAUAAUAUAUUGAACCGCAUGGUUCAAUAGUGAAAGACGGUUUUGCUGUCACUUAUAGAUGGAUCCGCGCCGCAUUAGCUAGUUGGUAAGGUAACGGCUUACCAAGGCAACGAUGCGUAGCCGACCUGAGAGGGUGAUCGGCCACACUGGAACUGAGAAACGGUCCAGGCUCCUACGGGAGGCAGCAGUAGGGAAUCUUCCGCAAAGGGCGAAAGCCUGACGGAGCAACGCCGCGUGAGUGAUGAAGGUCUUCGGAUCGUAAAACUCUGUUAUUAGGGAAGAACAAAUGUGUAAGUAACUAUGCACGUCUUGACGGUACCUAAUCAGAAAGCCACGGCUAACUACGUG
This 497-nucleotide ribosomal RNA is filed under the name uncultured bacterium. RNAcentral describes it as "partial 16S ribosomal RNA". It matches the Rfam family "Bacterial small subunit ribosomal RNA", at positions 28 to 507 of the family's 1533-position model. The record is from RNAcentral.